Molecule: non-coding RNA, 115 nt
Organism: Acanthosepion pharaonis
Lineage: Eukaryota; Metazoa; Mollusca; Cephalopoda; Sepiida; Sepiidae
Source: the annotation of a GenBank genome assembly
UUACGGCCACGUCACGUUGAAACUACCGGUUCCCGUACGACCGCCGAAGUUAAGCAAUAUCGAGUUUGGUUAGUAUCUAGAUGGGUGACCGAUUGGGAAUACCAGGUGAUGUAAG